AAGGAUCAUUACCGAGUUUUCGGGCUUCGG
RNAcentral lists this ribosomal RNA (30 nucleotides) under Lasiodiplodia pseudotheobromae. Its description in RNAcentral is "partial 18S ribosomal RNA". The record is from RNAcentral. Lineage: Eukaryota; Fungi; Ascomycota; Dothideomycetes; Botryosphaeriales; Botryosphaeriaceae.